UUCUUGCACUCCUCCAUCUCU
Molecule: microRNA, 21 nt
Filed under: Physcomitrium patens
Lineage: Eukaryota; Viridiplantae; Streptophyta; Bryopsida; Funariales; Funariaceae
Description: ppt-miR2083-5p
Source: miRBase by way of RNAcentral